CAGUAGCCGCGGUAAUACGAAGGGGGCUAGCGUUGUUCGGAAUUACUGGGCGUAAAGCGCACGUAGGCGGACAUUUAAGUCAGUGGUGAAAUCCCGGGGCUCAACCCCGGAACUGCCUUUGAUACUGGGUGUCUAGAGUAUGGAAGAGGUGAGUGGAAUUCCGAGUGUAGAGGUGAAAUUCGUAGAUAUUCGGAGGAACACCAGUGGCGAAGGCGGCUCACUGGUCCAUUACUGACGCUGAGGUGCGAAAGCGUGGGGAGCAAACAGGAUUAGAUACCCCUGUAGUCCCUGUCUCUUAUAC
This 301-nucleotide ribosomal RNA is filed under the name uncultured bacterium. RNAcentral's name for it is "partial 16S ribosomal RNA". It matches the Rfam family "Bacterial small subunit ribosomal RNA", at positions 509 to 807 of the family's 1533-position model. The record is from RNAcentral.